RNAcentral lists this ribosomal RNA (380 nucleotides) under Sphingomonas sp. oral taxon A66. Its description in RNAcentral is "bacterial SSU rRNA". It matches the Rfam family "Bacterial small subunit ribosomal RNA", at positions 29 to 431 of the family's 1533-position model. The record is from RNAcentral. Lineage: Bacteria; Pseudomonadati; Pseudomonadota; Alphaproteobacteria; Sphingomonadales; Sphingomonadaceae.
AACGAACGCUGGCGGCAUGCCUAACACAUGCAAGUCGAACGAACCCUUCGGGGUUAGUGGCGCACGGGUGCGUAACGCGUGGGAAUCUGCCCUUUGCUUCGGAAUAACAGUUAGAAAUGACUGCUAAUACCGGAUGAUGUCUUCGGACCAAAGAUUUAUCGGCAAAGGAUGAGCCCGCGUAGGAUUAGGUAGUUGGUGGGGUAAAGGCCUACCAAGCCGACGAUCCUUAGCUGGUCUGAGAGGAUGAUCAGCCACACUGGGACUGAGACACGGCCCAGACUCCUACGGGAGGCAGCAGUGGGGAAUAUUGGACAAUGGGCGCAAGCCCUGAUCCAGCAAAUGCCGCGUGAGUGAAUGAAGGCCUUCGGGUUCGUAAAAGC